Molecule: small RNA, 4341 nt
Filed under: Pan troglodytes (chimpanzee)
Lineage: Eukaryota; Metazoa; Chordata; Mammalia; Primates; Hominidae
Description: retained intron
Source: RNAcentral
CAAGGGGCCAGGACCCUGAGUUUUAUUGGGCCUUGACUAAUGUGCCUCCUCAUCUGUGUCCUCACCCUCCUUGUGGACUUAGGUUUCAGGUAUCUCAGAGGCAGACCCACAGGCUCUGCUCCAGGCCAUGAAGGACCUGGACGGCAUGGAUGCUGAUAUCUUAGGUCUGAAGAAAUCUAAUUCAGCCCCUAGCAAAAAAGCUGCAAAGGACCCUGGGAAAGGAGAGCUGCCCAACCACCCCAAGCCUGCAGGGGGUGCCAUUCCCACCAAGAAGUCACUUCCGUCUCCCAGCAGCUCUGGGCAUCAGAACAGGAGGUUUUCUUCUGAAGACUUGGAAGACCCAUUGGGAGGACUUCUCUCCUAUGAUGAAGGAGGAAUCACCAAGCAGCCACCUGUAACACAGAGUAAAACAGCUUCUGACAAGAGCCCCAGCACAGUGAGAGAUCAAGGUCCCUCUAUUCCUCUAACUCCUGGGGACACCCCCAUCCGAAAAAAAGAAGAAUUGUUGUUUGAUGAUGGGGAUGACAUCAUGGCCACCUUGGGGUUUGGAGACAGCCCCAAAGCAGAGAAGAGGCAGAUAGGAGACCAGGAAGGGCCUCGCCCUGCUCGCUCCACGCUGGAUGAGCUGCUGGGUCGAGGCACGGCCACCAAACUCCUGGCCCGCCCGGGCACCGGGGAGCACAGGGAGUUCAAGCUAGACAAGAAGUACCAGAGGCCACAGGACAGUGAAGAUACGUGGGGUGACGAGGACUUCACCUUUGGAGCCUAUCAGCCCACUGUGGUCUCCUCUGAGGGCCGGCAGUCCCGCCGGCAGUCUGUCAGUAGGUUCUUAGCAGACAGUGGCCCAGACCCCAAGGGAGAACCAGGCUCCAAACAGAGCCCUCCAAUGGCUUCCAGCCCCAUCCAGCCCAGGAAGGGAGGAGCUGACUGGUUGGGCCUCAAGGACGAGGACUUGGACCUGUUCCCUGCCUCACCCACCAGAGAGGCCCAUCGGGAAAGUUCAGUGCCUGUCAUGCCCUCAGUGCCUCCUCCUGCGAACCAGCACUCCACGCCAGCUGGGCUGCCCCCCUCCAGGGCAAAGCCACCAACUGAAGGUGCAGGGUCCCCUGCCAAAGCCAGCCAAGCUUCCAAGCUGCGAGCCUCCAAGGAGGAGAAAGAGGACUGGCUGAGCCAUGCCCUGUCUCGGAAGAAGUCCCAAGGCCUGGCCAGAGAGCAGCAUGCUGGGACCUCUGAGGGCCUGCGUUUGGCGGGGACAGCGGGCCAUCCCCCUUCUGGCAGCCUGACCUGGGCCUUCUGUCACCUUCACCUUGAACGCUGCCUUUCCUCAGCCAACCUCUCACCAGCACACAAGGGCUUGAGCACGCAGCUGCUGGAGGGCGCUCUGGAACAACUGCACGAGAAAGACCGUGUGUCAGGCCUGGCGUCUUGGGGUCCCCUGUGACUCAGAACCAUGCCGCCUCAGCACUCCCUACAGGUUCCCCAAAGAGGGGAACAGCCCCUGGAGACCUCUCAGCCACUGAGCCUGCCACGUGUUUCCCGAGCACCCAGAAACCCACAGAGCCUUCCGUGCCUGUCCAGCCCCUGCUCCCAGAGUCCCUGGCCCGGAGCCUGCUGCCGGGCACAGAAUACCAGAAGCAGCUCCUGGCAGCACAGGUGCAACUUCAGAGCGGCCCCACUGAGCUCCAGGCCGAGCUGCUGCAGAGCCAGGCCCGGCUGGCAGAGCUGGAGGCCCAGGUGCGGAAGCUGGAGCUAGAACGGGCCCAGCAUGAGCUGCUGCUGGGGAGUCUGCAGCAGCAGCACCAGGCAGACCUGGAGCUCAUCGAGAGUGCACACAGAAGCCGCAUCAAGGUGCUAGAAACAUCGUAUCAGCAACGGGAGGAGCGGCUCCGGAGAGAGAACGAAGAGCUGUCAGCUCGGUAUCUGUCGCAGUGCCAGGAGGCCGAACAGGCCCGUGCUGAGCUUACGGCCCAGCACCAGCGGCGCUUGGCGGCCAUAGCGCAGGAGAAGGACCAGGAAAUGGAGCGGCUCCGGGAGCUGCAGCGGGCGUCCAUCCUAGACAUGCGCAGAGACCACGAGGAGCAGCUGCAGCGGCUAAAGCUGCUGAAGGACCGAGAGGUCGAUGCGGCCACCAGUGCCACCUCCCACACGCGGUCCCUGAAUAGCAUCAUCCACCAGAUGGAGAAGUUCUCCAGCAGCCUGCACGAGUUGUCCUCCCGCGUGGAGGCCUCGCACCUCACCACCUCCCAGGAGCGGGAGCUGGGGAUCCGGCAGCGUGACGAGCAGCUGCGGGGAGCGGCUGGGCCAGCAGCAGCGGGACAUGGAGGAGGAGCGGAGCCGGCAACAGGAGGUCAUCGGGAAGAUGGAGGCGCGGCUGAAUGAGCAGAGCCGGCUGCUGGAGCAGGAACGCUGGCGGGUGACUGCCGAGCAGUCCAAGGCGGAGUCCAUGCAGCGCGCCCUAGAGGAGCAAAGGAAGGUCACGGCCCAGCAGAUGGCCAUGGAAAGGGCGGAGCUGGAGCGGGCCAAGAGCGCCUUGCUGGAGGAGCAGAAGUCUGUCAUGCUCAAGUGCGGGGAGGAGCGGCGGCGCCUGGCUGCCGAGUGGGCGGAGUUCUCCGCGCAGCAAAAGCUGAGAGCAGGCUGAGCUGAAGAUCAGGGCCAGCGAGCUCCGGGCCGAGGAGAAGCAGCUGGCAGCGGAGAGAGCAGCCCUGGAGCAGGAGCGGCAGGAGCUGCGGCUGGAGAAGGAGAGGAUCAACGCCACCGCCCUGCGUGUCAAGCUCCGCGCCGAGGAGGUGGAGAGCAUGAGCAAGGUGCUGCUCGGGCACAUGGGCGUGGGCGCAUCUGAGCCCAGGCAGCCCUGACCCAGGCGGCCUCCCUGCAGGUGGCCUCCGAGAAGUACGAGGAGGGGGAGCGGGCAUUGCGCGAGGCCCGGCAGGUGCAGGCAGAGCAGCAGGCCCGGUUGCAGGCGGUGCAGCAACAGCAGGAGCGGCUGCGGAAGCAGGAGCAGCACAUGCACCAGGAGCAUCUGAGUCUGGCCCAGCAGAGGCUGCAACUGGACCGCGCACGACAGGACCUGCCCUCUAGCCUCGUGGGUCUGUUCCCCAGGGCCCAGGGCCCUGCAGCCUCCAGCCAGAGUGCCCUCAUGCCUCCUGCUCCCACCACCCGUUGGUGCAGCCAGCCGCCGACUGGCCUGGACCCCAGCCCCUUGCACCUCCAUGCCAGGCUGGUGCUGCUGAGGCACAUGGCAGAGCAGCACCUGCGGUCUGCGGUGGCACCUGGCAGCUGGACCACAGCCAGGAGAAGGGUACUAUUAGCCCUGCUUCAAACAUGCAGAAACUGAGGCCCGGGGAGAUUAAAUAACCUGCCUGAAAUGACACCGUCCUGGGCCGCCGGACACCCCCGCUGGGGCCGAUGCCCAACAGUGACAUCGACUUGAGCAACCUGGAGCGGCUGGAGAAGUACCGGAGCUUCGACCGCUACCGGCGCCGGGCAGAGCAGGAGGCGCAGGCCCCGCACUGGUGGCGGACCUACCGAGAGUAUUUCGGGGAGAAGACAGAUCCCAAAGAGAAGAUUGAUAUUGGGCUGCCUCCACCCAAAGUCUCCCGGACCCAACAGCUACUGGAACGGAAACAGGCCAUCCGGGAGCUUCGGGCCAAUGUGGAAGAGGAGCGGGCUGCCCGCCUCCGCACAGUGUCCCGCUGGAUGCCGUGCGGGCCGAGUGGGAGAGGACCUGUGGCCCCUACCACAAGCAGCGUCUGGCUGAGUAUUACGGCCUCUACCGAGACCUGUUCCAUGGUGCCACCUUUGUGCCCCGAGUCCCCCUGCACGUGGCCUACGCUGUGGGUGAGGACGACCUGAUGCCCGUGUACUGUGGCAAUGAGGUGACUCCAACCGAGGCUGCCCAAGCGCCAGAGGUGACCUAUGAGGCAGAAGAGGGCUCCUUGUGGACGUUGCUACUCACUAGCUUGGAUGGGCACCUGCUGGAGCCAGAUGCUGAGUACCUCCACUGGCUGCUAACCAACAUCCCGGGUAACCGGGUGGCUGAAGGACAGGUGACGUGUCCCUACCUCCCCCCCUUCCCUGCCCGAGGCUCCGGCAUCCACCGUCUUGCCUUCCUGCUCUUCAAGCAGGACCAGCUGAUUGACUUCUCCGAGGACGCACGCCCCUCACCCUGCUAUCAGCUGGCCCAGCGGACCUUCCGCACUUUUGAUUUCUACAAGAAACACCAAGAAGCCAUGACUCCAGCCGGCUUGUCCUUCUUCCAGUGCCGCUGGGAUGACUCCGUCACCUACAUCUUCCACCAGCUUCUAGACAUGCGGGAGCCGGUGUUUGAGUUCGUGCGGCCGC